UGGCCCUACGGGACGCAGCAGUGGGGAAUAUUGCACAAUGGGCGCAAGCCUGAUGCAGCCAUGCCGCGUGUAUGAAGAAGGCCUUCGGGUUGUAAAGUACUUUCAGCGGGGAGGAAGGUGUUGAGGUUAAUAACCUCAGCAAUUGACGUUACCCGCAGAAGAAGCACCGGCUAACUCCGUGCCAGCAGCCGCGGUAAUACGGAGGGUGCAAGCGUUAAUCGGAAUUACUGGGCGUAAAGCGCACGCAGGCGGUCUGUCAAGUCGGAUGUGAAAUCCCCGGGCUCAACCUGGGAACUGCAUUCGAA
RNAcentral lists this ribosomal RNA (305 nucleotides) under uncultured bacterium. RNAcentral describes it as "bacterial SSU rRNA". It matches the Rfam family "Bacterial small subunit ribosomal RNA", at positions 334 to 631 of the family's 1533-position model. The record is from RNAcentral.